This is a non-coding RNA of Felis catus (domestic cat), 85 nucleotides long. NCBI's taxonomy places the organism in Eukaryota, Metazoa, Chordata, Mammalia, Carnivora, Felidae. The record is from Rfam.
GCCUGGGUGGCUCAGUCGGUUGAGCGUCCGACUUCAGCUCAGGUCAUGAUCUCACAGUCCGUGAGUUCGAGCCCCGCGUCAGGCU